RNAcentral lists this unclassified non-coding RNA (449 nucleotides) under uncultured fungus. RNAcentral describes it as "partial contains small subunit ribosomal RNA, internal transcribed spacer 1, and 5.8S ribosomal RNA". The stretch from base 1 to 73 matches the Rfam family "Eukaryotic small subunit ribosomal RNA", at positions 1759 to 1831 of the family's 1831-position model. The record is from RNAcentral. Lineage: Eukaryota; Fungi.
GCAAACUUGGUCAUUUAGAGGAAGUAAAAGUCGUAACAAGGUUUCCGUAGGUGAACCUGCGGAAGGAUCAUCAUUAAAUCCAAUUUAUACACCCUUGUGAACUGUGCGCUGAAAUCGCUACGCUUGGUCGUGCGAUUUCACUUGCAAAAACCACUUAUUUAAAGAAAGCUGAAGCAAUUGUAUUAAUUGAAACAACUUUCAACAAUGGAUCUCUUGGCUCUCUAGAGGAAGUAAAAGUCGUAACAAGGUUUCCGUAGGUGAACCUGCGGAAGGAUCAUCAUUAAAUCCAAUUUAUACACCCUUGUGAACUGUGCGCUGAAAUCGCUACGCUUGGUCGUGCGAUUUCACUUGCAAAAACCACUUAUUUAAAGAAAGCUGAAGCAAUUGUAUUAAUUGAAACAACUUUCAACAAUGGAUCUCUUGGCUCUCGCAUCGAUGAAGAACGCAGC